ACAGAUGAAGACGACUUUCUUAGUGCAAGAAGAUUUCUGAUUUGCUGAGAGCACCAGUAAAAGUGUGAAUGACCAAUAAAAGAAAUCUAGCACAGGCUUUGAAUCUCAUGAGAAUAUAUUUUUUAAGGUUAUGGGACUGGGAAGAACCAGCAUAUUUGAUGGUUGUGAUUAGCACAUCCUUCCAAAAGUUAUCUGUGGGUGGGGAAGCCCAUCUUCCACUGCAAGGGCACCUCCUCCACCACUUGUACUUGAAGCAGAAUCUGAACAGCUCAACACAAACAAGAGCUGACACUGGAGAAGAAAGAAAAUUAAUUCUGAUGGGUUUACCAGGACAAGGAACAUAGAGCCUUGGCCCAGAGGCUCCAGAGAACAGACUGUGUGAAUUUACUGAGACCCAGAAAUUCGGUUAUACCAUACAAAAUCCCCUUAGAAGCAACCCAUUAUUGUCAGAGUAAGUCCAAAUUUCAGAUUCUUAAGAUUUUAUAGCACUCAAAUUCAAUCUGUUGACAUGUAUAUGAUCAGAGAAACAUGGCACUACCACAAAUGUAUUUAAUCUGAAGCAUAUUUCACAUUUUAAGGAUUUCAAAAAUAAAAUGCUAGCUGUCAUUUUGUGAAAAAAAUUA
Corvus hawaiiensis (hawaiian crow) is the source of this 623-nucleotide long non-coding RNA. RefSeq lists it as uncharacterized. NCBI's taxonomy places the organism in Eukaryota, Metazoa, Chordata, Aves, Passeriformes, Corvidae. The transcript has 2 exons. The record is from RefSeq and is a predicted model, not a curated record.